GGAUGUGAUGCCCCAACGGUUUCGGGGGGCUGUCUGUAAAACAGUCUAACCAUCAAGGGGGUUCGACUCCCUCCACAUCCAC
This 82-nucleotide transfer RNA is filed under the name Streptomyces phage Faust. RNAcentral describes it as "tRNA-Tyr". It matches the Rfam family "tRNA". Rfam says of the family: Transfer RNA (tRNA) molecules are approximately 80 nucleotides in length. Lineage: Duplodnaviria; Heunggongvirae; Uroviricota; Caudoviricetes; Stanwilliamsviridae. RNAcentral also lists the same sequence under 2 other names. The record is from RNAcentral.